Molecule: ribosomal RNA, 340 nt
Filed under: uncultured Glomus
Lineage: Eukaryota; Fungi; Glomeromycota; Glomeromycetes; Glomerales; Glomeraceae
Description: SSU rRNA
Rfam family: Eukaryotic small subunit ribosomal RNA
Source: RNAcentral
AAAAAGCUCGUAGUUGAAUUUCGGGAUCAAUACGUCGGUCGUGCUUCGGUACGUACUGGCGUCAUUGAUUUCUCCCUUCUGACGAACCAUGAUGUCAUUAACUUGGUGUCAUGGGAAAUCAGGACUGUUACUUUGAAAAAAUUAGAGUGUUUAAAGCAGGCUCACGCUUGAAUACAUUAGCAUGGAAUAAUGAAAUAGGACGUUCGAUCCUAUUUUGUUGGUCUUUAGGAUCAACGUAAUGAUUAAUAGGGAUAGUUGGGGGCAUUAGUAUUCAAUUGUCAGAGGUGAAAUUCUUGGAUUUAUUGAAGACUAACUACUGCGAAAGCAUUUGCCAAGGAUG